CCAAUAGCGUAUAUUAAAGUUGUUGCAGUUAAAAAGCUCGUAGUUGAAUUUCGGGAUUGACGUGAUGGUCGUGCCUUAAGGGGUAUGAACUGUUGCUGUUGAUUUCUCACCUUCUGGAGAAACUUGAUGUCCUUAAUUGGGUGUCUUGCGGAUCCAGGACCUUUACCUUGAAAAAAUUAGAGUGUUUAAAGCAGGCAUUUUGCUCGAAUACAUUAGCAUGGAAUAAUAGAAUAGGACGGCAUGGUUCUAUUUUGUUGGUUUCUAGGAUUACCGUAAUGAGUAAUAGGGAUAGUUGGGGGCAUUAGUAUUCAAUUGUCAGAGGUGAAAUUCUUGGAUUUAUUGAAGACUAACUACUGCGAAAGCGUUUGCCAAGGAUGUUUUCAUUAAUCAAGAACGAAAGUUAGGGGAUCGAAGACGAUCAGAUACCGUCGUAGUCUUAACCAUAAACUAUGCCGACUAGGAAUCAGACGAUGUUAAUUUUUUAAUGACUCGUUUGGCACCUUACG
This 506-nucleotide ribosomal RNA is filed under the name uncultured Glomeromycotina. Its description in RNAcentral is "partial small subunit ribosomal RNA". It matches the Rfam family "Eukaryotic small subunit ribosomal RNA", at positions 591 to 1092 of the family's 1831-position model. Lineage: Eukaryota; Fungi; Glomeromycota. The record is from RNAcentral.